UGCAGUAUUUUGACUGUGCAAAGGUAGCAUAAUGGUUUGCCUUUUUAUAUUAGGAGCGCGGGGAUAUAGAAAGGUUUGACAAAACUUUGGUUUUUCCUUGUAAAUGCUAAAAGUAAAACUUUUUGUUAAAAUGCAAAAAUUUUAGUAAGGGGACGAUAAGACCCUAUAAACUUUUACACAUUAUAUUUUUAAGAAAUAUAUGAUAUAAGUGUUUAGUUGGGGCGAACGGUAAAUAAAAAUAAUUAAUGUUUAAACUAUUAUAAAAGGAGACCAAAAGCCUUAUGAGGCAAAAGAAAAAAGUACUUUAGGGAUAACAGCGUUAUACCUUCGGAGAGACCGUAUCUAUGAGGGUGUGUUGCGACCCUCGAUGUUGAAUUAAAAAAC
This 384-nucleotide ribosomal RNA is filed under the name Mesopodopsis orientalis. Its description in RNAcentral is "partial 16S ribosomal RNA". The record is from RNAcentral. Lineage: Eukaryota; Metazoa; Arthropoda; Malacostraca; Mysida; Mysidae.